CAAUUCUCCUACCAAGGAGCUCCAGGGCGUAGUUGUGACAAUUAACAUGGCAGAAAUGGAGCCAGGGAAGGGAGGGACUUCAGCAAAAACAUCUGCUGGGAAAAUUAAGGGACAGAACUGCUGCCACCACUGUGACUCACAAAAGGAAGUAAUGGAGGGGGUACAGGAGAGGGAAAAGGGACCAGAAUUCCAGUGA
This 196-nucleotide long non-coding RNA is filed under the name Cyanistes caeruleus (blue tit). RNAcentral's name for it is "lncRNA (ENSCCEG00000006203.1)". The record is from RNAcentral. Lineage: Eukaryota; Metazoa; Chordata; Aves; Passeriformes; Paridae.